RNAcentral lists this ribosomal RNA (441 nucleotides) under uncultured bacterium. RNAcentral's name for it is "partial 16S ribosomal RNA". It matches the Rfam family "Bacterial small subunit ribosomal RNA", at positions 338 to 795 of the family's 1533-position model. The record is from RNAcentral.
CCUACGGGUGGCAGCAGUGGGGAAUAUUGCACAAUGGGGGGAACCCUGAUGCAGCGACGCCGCGUGAGUGAAGAAGUAUUUCGGUAUGUAAAGCUCUGUCAGCAGGGAAGAAAAAAGAGGGUACCGGACCAAGAAGCCCCGGCUAACUACGUGCCAACAGCCGCGGUAAUAGGUAGGGGGCAAGGGUUAUCCGGAUUUACUGGGUGUAAAGGGAGCGUAGAGGGUUGGGCAAGUCGGGAGUGAAAGGCCGGGGCCCAACCCCAGGACUGCUGUGGAAACUGUCAGGCUGGAGUGCCGGAGAGGUAGGUGGAAUUCCUAGUGUAGCGGUGAAAUGCGUAGAUAUUAGGAGGAACACCAGUGGCGAAGGCGGCUUACUGGACGGUAACUGACGUUGAGGCUCGAAAGCGUGGGGAGCAAACAGGAUUAGAUACCCGAGUAGUC